CUGAAUGGCUUCGGCCUUCAACCUUCAAACCUGUGGAAGCAAACCGUGCUUCGGGGCUCCGGCCCCGCAUCUAUGCCUCAAAGCGUUUGUCUGAACUAAAAGCAAGAAUUA
RNAcentral lists this unclassified non-coding RNA (111 nucleotides) under uncultured Archaeorhizomyces. RNAcentral describes it as "sequence contains ITS1". Lineage: Eukaryota; Fungi; Ascomycota; Archaeorhizomycetes; Archaeorhizomycetales; Archaeorhizomycetaceae. The record is from RNAcentral.